GCCAGCAUUGCAUAGUGGUUUGAGUGUUGGACUAGGACUCUGGAGGCCAGGGUUCAAUCCCCCACUUGGCG
Molecule: transfer RNA, 71 nt
Filed under: Phrynosoma platyrhinos (Desert horned lizard)
Lineage: Eukaryota; Metazoa; Chordata; Lepidosauria; Squamata; Phrynosomatidae
Description: tRNA-OTHER
Source: RNAcentral